Molecule: ribosomal RNA, 255 nt
Filed under: uncultured bacterium
Lineage: Bacteria
Description: partial 16S ribosomal RNA
Rfam family: Bacterial small subunit ribosomal RNA
Source: RNAcentral
UACGUAGGGUGCAAGCGUUUGUCCGGAAUUAUUGGGCGUAAAGAGCUCGUAGGCGGUUUGUCGCGUCUGCUGUGAAAACCCGAGGCUCAACCUCGGGCCUGCAGUGGGUACGGGCAGACUAGAGUGCGGUAGGGGAGAUUGGAAUUCCUGGUGUAGCGGUGGAAUGCGCAGAUAUCAGGAGGAACACCAAUGGCGAAGGCAGAUCUCUGGGCCGUAACUGACGCUGGAGGAGCGAAAGCAUGGGGAGCGAACAGG